UUAAAAUCACUGACACCUCACCUUUUUGGGGACCACAGCAAGUGCAGCCAAAACUGUGGAUAUGUACGAAAUCCUACUACCUAUAUUCCAAAGAACUUACCAUAUAGGAAAUACCUCAGUGACAGUAAGCUGAAAGCGGACCUUUAUGAAACACUUUCAACUUAUGCAGACCAAGCAGAGAAGUUAUCAAAUCUAGGAAGUUCCCAGUCAAAUGAGAGCUUCAAUAACACAGUUGCUUCGAAAGCACCAAAGCGAAUGCAUUUUUCAGGAUCAGAAAGCACAUCAUUUAGAGUUGCUGCUGCUGCUGCCCAGAAAAACUUAGGAAGUCAUUACGUUUUGAAGGUAAAUUAAGCACUACUCUUGUCCCCAGGAGGACAUACAAAGAGACUUAUGAUACAACAUGACCUGAAAAGAAUGAAGGAUUAUGAGCAAAAGUCAUCAACAUCAUUCAAGAAGAGAAGGUCGGUCCUAAAAUCCAAAAAAACAAGCAGCGUUAGAAAGCAAAGAGCUUAGAGAGGGUACUACAUAUGAGUCUGGUGUGAGUUUGGCUGAGUCUUCCACAGCAGAUGAUAUCCAUGAGAUACCUUCUCCUUCCACCUUGCCCACCAUAUUAACUCUUCCAGAUGGAAAUUAUACUUUCAUCUGCUUUGAUCUGGAGACUACCGGUCUUGGUUUAUCAUCAAUUACACAAAUUGCUGCUAGCUGUGGGGAUAGAAAUUUCAACCAGUAUGUGCUGCCAACUGAAGAGAUUAGCCAGUCUGCUUCAUUGCAACAACUGGAAUAUCCUUUGAUGGUGUUGCACUUUACAAGGAAGGAGUGAGACCUGAUGCUCUACCACUAUCUGAGGCAUUUUCCAGAUUUUCUAUUUGGCUACAAGAGUACAAUAACCCAGUUUUGGUAUCUCACAAUACCAAGUCCUUUGAUUCUGUUGUUUUCAUGAACAAUGUAUCUAAAACCAGUAUAAAUUUUGAUCUCACAAUUGGAUUUGUUGACAGUUUACCACUUUUCAA
Saccostrea echinata is the source of this 1010-nucleotide long non-coding RNA. RefSeq lists it as uncharacterized. Lineage: Eukaryota; Metazoa; Mollusca; Bivalvia; Ostreida; Ostreidae. The transcript has 3 exons. The record is from RefSeq and is a predicted model, not a curated record.